GCCUGUGUGUCUCCGUGGUUAGAGCAUCAGUCUGAGCACUGAAGGGCUGUGGGUUCAGUUCCCAGUCAAGGGCA
This is a non-coding RNA of Myotis lucifugus (little brown bat), 74 nucleotides long. NCBI's taxonomy places the organism in Eukaryota, Metazoa, Chordata, Mammalia, Chiroptera, Vespertilionidae. The record is from Rfam.